This is a non-coding RNA of Colossoma macropomum (tambaqui), 1281 nucleotides long. The record is from the annotation of a RefSeq genome assembly. NCBI's taxonomy places the organism in Eukaryota, Metazoa, Chordata, Actinopteri, Characiformes, Serrasalmidae.
UUUGAGUGGUUAGAUAACAAUAAAAACAAGCUGACUAACUUCAUUCAGUACGCUGCUCUACCGAGAGACGGAGCGUACGCUAAAGUGAGCGUCAUUAGCGUGGCGAAGGAUGACUGGGACAAAGGGAAACGAUUCACAUGCAAAGUGGGCAACGAGACACUCAACAUACCAGAGGACAAAAAACCAAGCGUCAAUCUGGUGAAAGUUUCUGAUGGUGAAUCCAUCAUGUGCGUCACUGAGGACUUCUUCCCAAAGGACUUCACCCUUAAGCUGAAAGAGGAUGGUCAGGAGGUUGCUGGUCUGAACUGGCCAGCCAUGCGCAGUACUUCAGGCUUGUAUACAGCCGGCAGCCUUCUUAAAGUCAAUAAGGCAUCAUGGAAGAACGCAAAGUACAGCUGUGAAGUAACCCAUCAGAACAACAUCUACACACAAUCUCGAUCUUUCACAGGUAAAUUCACUGUGGAAAUCAAACCACCUGGAGCAAAAGACCUGUUUAUACAUAACAAAGCAAAAAUAGAGUGUGUUAUCAGUGGAAGUAAUAAGGUGGAGGUGGAAGCAGCAAAAGUGUUGUGGACAGUUGGAGGCAACGAAGCUGAAAAGAGGAACAUCAUUGAUGGUGUGGUUGAACCUGAAGAAGAGCUGCAUAUGAAGACCAGCACGCUGACCAUUGAUGAGUCCGUCUGGUUUGCAGGCACAGCAGUGAAAUGCUCCACUACCAGAGACAAAGAUACAUUCUCUGACACCAUUAGCUUAACAGAAGGAGACGACAGCUGCUCUCUUCAGAUCUAUGUACCUAAGAAAGCUGUUCUCGACACUGAGAAAAUCUCUCUGGUGUGUGAGGUCAACAGCUCUCGUCUUGGGGAUGUUUACAUCAUGUGGCAAAAGGGCCAAAAUCCUAAUGAUCCUUUUGAAGAAGGCAGCAUCACAGCUCCCAUCUACAAAAACGGAUCUCCCAUGUCUGUUUUAAGCGUUUUUACAGUGACUGGAAAGGAGUACAACAGUGAAAUGGUCUUCACUUGUGCGGUCAAGCAUGCCAAUAUGAAGAAUCAUAGCACACCGUUAAAGACAACAGCAUCUAACAAUCUGUUUCAAAUAUUUAUAACUAUUUUAUUGUGUGUUUUAGGUGAGAUUCCAGAUUCAGGAUUGUAUGUACAAUGUGAUGAGGUGACUUCAGAGGAGGAUGAGUUCAACAGCUUGUGGUCCACUGCCUCCUCCUUCAUCUUCCUGUUCCUCUUCUCUCUCCUCUACAGCACUGUCCUCAGCCUCUCCAAGAUGAAAUAA